UAUUUUCUUCUCCGGAAACAGUUUUUCGGAUUUCUUUCUUGCGCCGUCGGCAUCAUUAACAACAAAGCUUUGGAUUGAUACCAAACAGAAGAAGUCUGAUUUUUGCAUUGGAUAUUGCUUUAUUCUUAUGGCAUUGGCAGCAUGCGUGGGUGCUCUAAUAGCAGCAUUUCAAACGCUGCUUGAUGCGGUUAUAGCAGUGAAGGCGGAAGCUACCAUGUUUAAGCCUCCCCUUGAAAAUAUCAAAUCCACACUAGACUCCUUACAGCCAAUGAUCGAAGAGAUAGAAAAAUAUAUCUCAAAGGAGGGGCUAGAAAAUUAUGCAAUGCAAAUGGAGGAAGGGGUAAAUCUUGUUCGCAAGUGCAGCAAGGUUGGUGUGUGGCGCUGCUGCAGGAGAUACAGAUACACCAAAAAACUUGAUGAAUUGGAUAGAUGUCUUCAAAGACUAGUGGAUGUGUUGAAAGUGCAGGGCAUAAGGGAUGUCAGGGAGACCUUGGUUUCGUUAAGGAAUAUAGAGACGGUGCUGCAUCGUAUCGAAGGGAACUUAGUGAUGCAAAAUCAGUUUGAAAAAAUCAAUGGUUGGCCUGCUGUGCCUGAACCUCCACAGGUUACUGUCGGGUUGGAUGUGCCAGUGAAGGAAUUGAGGAUAAAGCUUCUUCAGGAUGAUGUGUCAAUGCUUGUGCUGACUGCUGCUGGUGGAUGUGGGAAAACCACAUUGGCAAAAAAGUUUUGUCAAGAUCAGGAAGUAAAAGAUAAAUUCAAGGACAAUAUCUUCUUUGUCACUCUUUCGAAGAAGCCCAACUUGGACCUUAUUGUACAUGAACUAUAUCAACGGAAGGGUUCCCAGGUGCCUGCUUUCCAAAACGAAGUAAUUGCGGUUAACUGGUUGCAACAUUUUCUGAAGGAAACAGGACAAAGUCCUUUACUGAUUGUCCUGGAUGAUGUUUGGUCAGGAUCAGAGUCCCUUCUUGAGAAGUUUGAUCAAUUCAAAAUGUCAAAUUACAAAGUUUUGGUCACGUCAAGAUUUGCAUUUCCAAGAUUUGGUUCUCCAUAUCAUUUGGAAUCAUUGAAUGAUGAAGAUGCAAUGGCUCUUUUUCAUCAUUCAGCAUCCUUGGAUGAUAAGACCUCUUAUGCUCGGGAAGACCUUUCGAGAAAGAUAGUAGAGCUCUGUAAGGGAUUUCCACUUGCCAUUACGGAGGUUGGAAGAUCACUUCGCGGCCAGCCUAUAGAGAUUUGGCGAAAAAAAGUAAUGGAAUGGUCUAAAGGUUCUUCUAUACUUGCAUCUAACAGUCAUUUGCUUGCUUGAUGCCUUGGAUACAGAUAAACCUAUCAUCAAGGAAUGUUUCCUUGACCUGUGCUCAUUUCCUAGAGACCAAAGGAUCUCUGCUGCCAACCUCGUAGAUAUGUGGGCAGAGUUAUAUGGCCUAGAUGAACCCAGUCUGUCCAUUGCGAACCUCUACGAACUAACCACGCAGAGUUUAGCUAAUCUUGUAGCCACAGGGAAUGAGAGAGAGCCGGAUGGCUAUUACACUGAACACUUUGUUACCCAACAUGAUAUGCUUAGGGAGUUGGCUAUUCAUCAAGCGAAUCAAGACCCAAUAGAACAGAGAAAAAGACUAAUUAUAAAGACAUGUGGAGACAAUCUUCCUAUGUGGUUGGCAGAGCAAAAGCAUCAGCCCCUCCAGGCUCGACUAUUAUCAAUCUCAACUGAUGGAGAGUUCUCAAAAAAAUGGCCAAACAUGCAACUACCAAAAGCAGAGGUUCUAGUUCUAAAUUUUGAAACAAAGAGCUACGCCUUACCCGAAUUUGUGAAGAAAAUGGAUAAUUUAAAGGUUUUAAUAGUCACAAAUUACGGUUUCUUACCUUCUGAGUUAAAUAAUUUUCAAUUACUUGGUUCGUCAUCAAAUCUGAAGAGAAUUAGAUUGGAACACAUUUCAAUUCCUUCCAUAAGCAAGAACCUCAAACAUUUGAAAAGUGUACAGAAGAUAUCUUUAUUCAGGUGUAGCAUUGGUCAAGCUUUUGGUAAAGGUUCCAUUCAAAUUCUAGAUGCAUUACCAAAUCUAGCCGAAAUGCACAUAGAUUAUUGCCAUGAUCUGGUGGAAUUGCCCGCGGAACUUUGUGAUCUUAUUCGCCUUAAGAAGCUUAGCAUCACCAACUGUCAUAAGUUAUCCGCCUUGCCUGAAAAUAUUGGAAAGCUAGUCAGUUUGGAAGUGUUGAGGCUCAGGUCAUGUACAGAUUUGUUAGAGUUGCCAGGCACGAUUAGGAACCUUAAAAUGUUAAACUUUCUCGACAUAUCCUAUUGCUUUAGCAUUAAGGAGUUGCCUGAACACAUUGGUGAGAUGUGCAGUUUAAAAAAGCUCAACAUGAGACAAUGCUCAAGAUUGCAAGAUCUGCCUGCAUCAGUUUUGGACCUUGAGCAGUUGAAGAAUGUGACAUGUGAUGAGGAGACAGAACUUUUAUGGGAACCCUUCUUACCCCUUCUCAAAAACAUACACAUAAAGGUGGUCAAAGAAGAUAUCAAGCUAAAUUGGCUCCACAAGCUUCCAUCUUGAGAUUUUUAUUUUUUAUUUUGUAAAUAGUUGAGCUAUAACUUUGUAAAUAGUUGAGCUAUAGCUUUGUUACAAACGUCUCUUAUGUGGUCGUCAAUGGCCCCACUACUUUCAGUGUGGAAUUGUUACUAAAGUUUCCUAAAAAGAACACUUAUAAUUU
Molecule: non-coding RNA, 2706 nt
Organism: Prunus avium (sweet cherry)
Lineage: Eukaryota; Viridiplantae; Streptophyta; Magnoliopsida; Rosales; Rosaceae
Source: RefSeq, a predicted model, not a curated record